Molecule: ribosomal RNA, 253 nt
Filed under: uncultured bacterium
Lineage: Bacteria
Description: partial 16S ribosomal RNA
Rfam family: Bacterial small subunit ribosomal RNA
Source: RNAcentral
UACAGAGGUCUCAAGCGUUGUUCGGAUUCAUUGGGCGUAAAGGGUGUGUAGGUGGCGCGCUAAGUCGGGUGUGAAAUUUUGGAGCUUAACUCCGAAACUGCAUUCGAUACUGCCGUGCUUGAGGACUGGAGAGGAGACUGGAAUUUACGGUGUAGCGGUGAAAUGCGUAGAUAUCGUAAGGAAGACCAGUGGCGAAGGCGGGUCUCUGGACAGUUCCUGACGCUGAGGCACGAAGGCCAGGGGAGCAAACGGG